This 105-nucleotide microRNA precursor is filed under the name Canis lupus familiaris (dog). RNAcentral describes it as "mir-8834 microRNA precursor family". It matches the Rfam family "mir-8834 microRNA precursor family". Lineage: Eukaryota; Metazoa; Chordata; Mammalia; Carnivora; Canidae. RNAcentral also lists the same sequence under 1 other name. The record is from Rfam by way of RNAcentral.
AGGAGCAACAGCCCCAGGGGCGGGGCCAGCUCUGCAGCCCUGGAGUCAGCUCCCGCAGUAACUCCGGAGCUCUCCGUCUGCAGGGCCUGGAGGCUCCGGGGCGGG